UUUCCGUAGGUGAACCUGCGGAAGGAUCAUUAGUGAAUUGAAUAUGUUAGCGAACCACUUCGGAGUCCCUACCAUCAAAUCAUAUCCAUAACACCUGUGAACUGUAAGGCUGACUCCAAGACGAAAGUGAUUAGAGCGCAUGCCCAUCUUAUACUAACAUUAAGGUAACAUACGUAGUCUUAUUAUAAUCAAAUAAAACUUUCAACAACGGAUCUCUUGGCUCUC
Molecule: unclassified non-coding RNA, 225 nt
Filed under: plant metagenome
Description: partial contains small subunit ribosomal RNA, internal transcribed spacer 1, and 5.8S ribosomal RNA
Source: RNAcentral